Molecule: ribosomal RNA, 109 nt
Filed under: Thermobia domestica (firebrat)
Lineage: Eukaryota; Metazoa; Arthropoda; Insecta; Zygentoma; Lepismatidae
Description: partial large subunit ribosomal RNA
Source: RNAcentral
UCUUCUUUGCGAGUUCGAAUCAAUAAGAGGGGUUGCGACCUCGAUGUUGGAUUAAGAUUUUACCUAGGUGCAGUAGCUUAGGAAAAAGGUCUGUUCGACCUUUAAACUC